This 506-nucleotide ribosomal RNA is filed under the name Melitaea persea. Its description in RNAcentral is "partial 16S ribosomal RNA". Lineage: Eukaryota; Metazoa; Arthropoda; Insecta; Lepidoptera; Nymphalidae. The record is from RNAcentral.
UCAAAAACAUGUCUUUUUGAUAAUAAUUUAAAGUCUAAUCUGCCCACUGAUAUUAAUUAUUAAAGGGCUGCAGUAUAUUGACUGUACAAAGGUAGCAUAAUCAUUAGUCUUUUAAUUGAAGACUUGUAUGAAAGAUUUGAUGAAAUAUAAACUGUCUCUAAUUUAUAAAUAAAAAUUAAUUUUUUAGUUAAAAAGCUAAAAUAAUAUUAAAAGACGAGAAGACCCUAUAAAGUUUUAUAAUUUAUUUAUUUAAUAUUAAAUAUAUAAUUAAAUAUAAUAAUUAAUAAAAUUAUUUUAUUGGGGUGAUAGAAAAAUUUAAUUAACUUUUUUUAAAAAUAUAAACAUAAAUAAGUGAUUUUAUGAUCCAUUAUUAAUGAUUAAAAGAAAAAAUUACUUUAGGGAUAACAGCGUAAUAUUUUUUUUUAGUACAAAUAAAAAAAAAAGUUUGCGACCUCGAUGUUGGAUUAAGAUAAAAUUUAAAUGCAAAAGUUUAAAAUUUUGAUCUG